GCUCAGUGGUUGAGCGCGUGGAUUUUAACUACGUGGUCGUGGGUUCGAUCCCAU
Molecule: transfer RNA, 54 nt
Filed under: Ipomoea nil (Japanese morning glory)
Lineage: Eukaryota; Viridiplantae; Streptophyta; Magnoliopsida; Solanales; Convolvulaceae
Rfam family: tRNA
About the family: Transfer RNA (tRNA) molecules are approximately 80 nucleotides in length. Their secondary structure includes four short double-helical elements and three loops (D, anti-codon, and T loops). Further hydrogen bonds mediate the characteristic L-shaped molecular structure. tRNAs have two regions of fundamental functional importance: the anti-codon, which is responsible for specific mRNA codon recognition, and the 3' end, to which the tRNAs corresponding amino acid is attached (by aminoacyl-tRNA synthetases). tRNAs cope with the degeneracy of the genetic code in two manners: having more than one tRNA (with a specific anti-codon) for a particular amino acid; and 'wobble' base-pairing, i.e. permitting non-standard base-pairing at the 3rd anti-codon position.
Source: Rfam by way of RNAcentral